Molecule: long non-coding RNA, 2895 nt
Filed under: Coffea arabica (coffee)
Lineage: Eukaryota; Viridiplantae; Streptophyta; Magnoliopsida; Gentianales; Rubiaceae
Description: long non-coding RNA (CARA_LNC005191)
Source: RNAcentral
GUUUUUCCCCACAGCUGAGGAGUGCAUUGAUUACUAUAACCAGAAAAGAUGUGUAGAUGGGAAGGGUCUCAUUCUCCCUGGCCAGAUUGUUAGUCAAAAAUUUGCACGAACUGUUUUUCUGAAUAAAAGUCUUAUUUAUAUAUGUGAUCUAACAAAUUUUCAUUUUUUGCCUUUCCAUAGAGGUAUGUGAAGUACUUUGAGCGCAUUUUAACGCACUUCAAUGGUGAAACUCCGCCUGGACGUAGGUACUCUUCAGAUUAGUUACUUAAAAAAUACAAAGUAUUGAGCCAUCAAGGUACUGAAAAGCUACUAUAUUGCAGGUGCAUGCUGAGGGGAUUUCGACUCCACAAGUGUCCUUAUUGGAUCAGACCUGCCAUUACCAUAUCUAAUCAUAGUGGUAAGUACUGGGUUGAGCCUCAUGCUAACUUUGCCACAGUGAGAAGCAGUAUUUUGUUACUGUUCUGGUGAUUCGUUAAUUUAUUCGGUUUGAGAAGUCACCUACAUUUGGUUGACGUUGCUUUAUUUAUUCGUUUAAUUAGUGUCUGUACAAUUACCAUAUAUGCCAGGCGAUGUACUUCAGUUUUACUGUCUCUCAAAAGUAGCAUCUCUCAUGUGAUAAAUUUUAGUUUGGGGAAUAUCAUCAUCCAAAACCAAAUAUGGUUUAGGAUUACUGCCAGAUAUAGAACUUUAUAUAUUAAUGCAAACCAAUGAAAUUAUUAUCAUUGGCUUUUUUAAUAUCUUGUCUGAAGUUGGGAGUCAAAGGAAAAGUAAUUACAUGAUACCAUUGCAUUUGUGGCAAGUCCCUGUCAGUCAUGCAAACCAGGAAAAGGGCUUUUUACCCAAUAGCUUGAACAUGACUAUUAACAUCUGAUUUCAAUACGGAGCUUGAUUUAGAGUUAUUUCAUCUUUGAGUGAGAGAGAGGGAUUGGUCUUUACAAUUGCUGCACAUGUGAGCGAGAGGGAUGGGUCUUUCUCUAAACUUCCAAGAUAAAUAAAAAAUUAUACAUGUCACUAGUAGUAUUAGGGUCUGCUUCGUGUGAGAUAUUCACUUUCAUGCAGCCAGAGGCAACCAGCACUUCUUGCUUACUUUUGAAGAUCAAUGAGAGCCCUAUGGAAAAUAGCAGUUGAAUUUCUAGAAGAUUAUUAUGUCAGUAGCAAUCUCUUAUAUGUGGAGUAUAGAGAACAAAAAGGUUCAGAAAGUUUUAGACCUUGCUAGCUGCAAGAAUAGAAACUUUCUUUAUGAGCAAAAUGUGACUUCUGACUCUUUAAGCUAUCCUUUUUUGAAUUUUAAACCAGUUUUGCUGAACUGACGAAAGUAUUUACUUGUCUGCAGGAGUUUUAUUUUCCACUAAAAAGCAUCCGAAAACAAAGGACCUAAUGGUAUUCUAUAUCAUCUGUCACUUCAUUACUGCCUCAUUUUUACAAGUAAAUGUAUUUGAUUGGCUGUGCUGACUACUCGAGAGUUAUUCUCUUUUUCAUUAAUUGAGUUUAAUUUAUGAUCUAUUUGAAAAUUUUGUAUGGGGCUACAAAACCAUUUAAUUUUUUGCGUUUCUUCUUGUAGCCAGAAGACUUCUGGUUGCGUGCAGCAAAAAAGGGAAUUGUGGUCUUUGCUCUACCAGGGGAGCCAGGUUUAACAGAAUUGGCGGGGGAUUUCAAAAUCCACUUUCAGGAUCGCCAAGGAGACUUCUAUUGGUGUGUAAACUGUCCUGGUAUCUGCUUCUUUUUAGUGCAUGUCCAAUUGCAGUAGCAUCCCAUCACGCUUGUUGAUUUUUCUCUGAAAUAUGUUGCCUAAAUAUGUAUGCAUUUGCUCAUGAUCCAGUAGCAUCUGAUUGCGCGUGCAGCAUGACCAUCAUAGAAAUAUUAUCUGUGGUAUUUUUAAUUAAUUUCCUAGAGGAGAGCAAGAGGAGUUUCAAGGAUAUCAAGUGCGCAUCCUUUAAAACAUUGUGAAGUGUUUGAUAAAUUCUUAGUCUUCAUGAGCUUUGAUUAAAUUUGAAGCAUACAUUAAGACUCUUGACAAAUUUAUAUUUUCUUUAGUUUCAUAUUUCACCUUCUUUUUUUGGUGGUAAGCUGUUUCUCCUUCUUUCAGUUGGUUGAAUACGACAAUGAUGGAAAAUAGAGUGCUUUUGGAUUCCUCUGAUCUUGAUGGCUUUGAUAAGGUAAAUCAAAUACUUUUGUUUGUUUAUAUAAGCAAACUCUCAAUUGUAAGUCAUUCAUCUUUCUCAUCUUUUCUUUUCAUUUUUUCCAAGAUUUUGCUCUUACUGUAACACAGUUUCACCUUUUUGUAGCUUUAUUUGUUUCUCAGCGCCUUUUAGUCGUUCUUCUUUAAUUUCAUCCUUUUCGUUUUUGGGUAAAAUAGAACUUUAAUUUAAUUUCUUGCUGUUAACAAACAUCUGGCACUCCACAGAGGAAAUUGCCUUCUCCAGGUUUUCAGGUUGAGAUUGUGAUGAUAGACUAUGAUGGUACAAUAUCAUCCAAAUUUAAAGCUGAUCAAGUGGCAAAGGGGUCUGAUGGACGAGUAGGAAGUCAAGCAUCAUCAAGUGAUAGGAAUGACGCGAACACUGCUCAAGUCGAGGUUACACCAAAACGAGAUAAUGAUGACGAUGUUUUUUCAGAUAGUGAUGGAGAGGGGUCUGUACCCUCAAGAAGAAGUGUAGAUAACACAUCAUCUGCAGUGGGAACUACUUCACCUCUUGAAUCAGGUAGCAAAGAUAACCAAAUUACAUCCUUCACCGAUCAGACCAAACAACUCUCAUUGGGGAGCAAGGAGUCCGCACCUUUUCAGACCAAUACGUCAAAAGAAACGAAAUUUGAUGUUGUUGAGAGGGUUGACUCUAUUCCAAACCUAGGUUCUGGUGAUAUUAAAGCUAUUGCAGCAGAUGCUUCUGUUUUCAGUUU